GGGGUUGUGGUGUAACUGGCAGCAUGACGGACUUUUAAUCCGUUCGGCGAGAGUUCGAAUCUCUCCGGCCCCAC
This is a transfer RNA of 74 nucleotides. It matches the Rfam family "tRNA". Rfam says of the family: Transfer RNA (tRNA) molecules are approximately 80 nucleotides in length. Their secondary structure includes four short double-helical elements and three loops (D, anti-codon, and T loops).